CUUGGUGUGCGUUGAGGAGUUUUUUAAGAACAAGCUUGGAUCGCCAAACCCUAGACAAUAAGCAGAACAUCCUAGACCAUGAAGUGAAUGUCUGGGAUUACUUGACUUGGCAAUGAAACUAACUUUUGAGUGUCCUGAAAGUGAAGUGAGGAACCUUAACAAAAUGGAUGCAGGACAGCUAAGAGAGACACUGGACAGGCAGGAUAAUGCAAUAAAAGGGUGGGCUCUCAGCUG
Molecule: long non-coding RNA, 234 nt
Organism: Athene cunicularia (burrowing owl)
Lineage: Eukaryota; Metazoa; Chordata; Aves; Strigiformes; Strigidae
Exons: 3
Source: RefSeq, a predicted model, not a curated record